This 2995-nucleotide ribosomal RNA is filed under the name Salmonella enterica subsp. enterica serovar Schwarzengrund str. CVM19633. RNAcentral's name for it is "bacterial LSU rRNA". It matches the Rfam family "Bacterial large subunit ribosomal RNA". Lineage: Bacteria; Pseudomonadati; Pseudomonadota; Gammaproteobacteria; Enterobacterales; Enterobacteriaceae. The record is from RNAcentral.
ACUAAGCGUACACGGUGGAUGCCCUGGCAGUCAGAGGCGAUGAAGGACGUGCUAAUCUGCGAUAAGCGCCGGUAAGGUGAUAUGAACCGUUAUAACCGGCGAUUUCCGAAUGGGGAAACCCAGUGUGACUCGUCACACUAUCAUUAACUGAAUCCAUAGGUUAAUGAGGCGAACCGGGGGAACUGAAACAUCUAAGUACCCCGAGGAAAAGAAAUCAACCGAGAUUCCCCCAGUAGCGGCGAGCGAACGGGGAUGAGCCCAGAGCCUGAAUCAGCAUGUGUGUUAGUGGAAGCGUCUGGAAAGGCGCGCGAUACAGGGUGACAGCCCCGUACACAAAAGCGCAUAUGCUGUGAGCUCGAUGAGUAGGGCGGGACACGUGGUAUCCUGUCUGAAUAUGGGGGGACCAUCCUCCAAGGCUAAAUACUCCUGACUGACCGAUAGUGAACCAGUACCGUGAGGGAAAGGCGAAAAGAACCCCGGCGAGGGGAGUGAAAAAGAACCUGAAACCGUGUACGUACAAGCAGUGGGAGCCCCACCACUAAGCCAGUGGUGAACUCCACAUACGCAUCCUUUGCUGAGGAUGCGGUUAACGGAGCGAAAGCGACGUUCAACCGCAAAAGAAGCAGAGGGGGCUUAGUGGUGGGGUGACUGCGUACCUUUUGUAUAAUGGGUCAGCGACUUAUAUUCUGUAGCAAGGUUAACCGAAUAGGGGAGCCGGAGGGAAACCGAGUCUUAAUUGGGCGUUAAGUUGCAGGGUAUAGACCCGAAACCCGGUGAUCUAGCCAUGGGCAGGUUGAAGGUUGGGUAACACUAACUGGAGGACCGAACCGACUAAUGUUGAAAAAUUAGCGGAUGACCUGUGGCUGGGGGUGAAAGGCCAAUCAAACCGGGAGAUAGCUGGUUCUCCCCGAAAGCUAUUUAGGUAGCGCCUCGUGAAUUCAUCUCCGGGGGUAGAGCACUGUUUCGGCUAGGGGGCCAUCCCGGCUUACCAACCCGAUGCAAACUGCGAAUACCGGAGAAUGUUAUCACGGGAGACACACGGCGGGUGCUAACGUCCGUCGUGAAGAGGGAAACAACCCAGACCGCCAGCUAAGGUCCCAAAGUCAUGGUUAAGUGGGAAACGAUGUGGGAAGGCCCAGACAGCCAGGAUGUUGGCUUAGAAGCAGCCAUCAUUUAAAGAAAGCGUAAUAGCUCACUGGUCGAGUCGGCCUGCGCGGAAGAUGUAACGGGGCUAAACCAUGCACCGAAGCUGCGGCAGCGACACUAUGUGUUGUUGGGUAGGGGAGCGUUCUGUAAGCCUGUGAAGGUGGCCUGUGAGGGUUGCUGGAGGUAUCAGAAGUGCGAAUGCUGACAUAAGUAACGAUAAAGCGGGUGAAAAGCCCGCUCGCCGGAAGACCAAGGGUUCCUGUCCAACGUUAAUCGGGGCAGGGUGAGUCGACCCCUAAGGCGAGGCCGAAAGGCGUAGUCGAUGGGAAACGGGUUAAUAUUCCCGUACUUGGUGUUACUGCGAAGGGGGGACGGAGAAGGCUAUGUUGUCCGGGCGACGGUUGUCCCGGUUUAAGCGUGUAGGUGUGUGUUCCAGGUAAAUCCGGUUCACUUUAACACUGAGGCGUGAUGACGAGGCACUACGGUGCUGAAGCAACAAAUGCCCUGCUUCCAGGAAAAGCCUCUAAGCAUCAGGUAACAUCAAAUCGUACCCCAAACCGACACAGGUGGUCAGGUAGAGAAUACCAAGGCGCUUGAGAGAACUCGGGUGAAGGAACUAGGCAAAAUGGUGCCGUAACUUCGGGAGAAGGCACGCUGACAUGUAGGUGAAGUGAUUUACUCAUGGAGCUGAAGUCAGUCGAAGAUACCAGCUGGCUGCAACUGUUUAUUAAAAACACAGCACUGUGCAAACACGAAAGUGGACGUAUACGGUGUGACGCCUGCCCGGUGCCGGAAGGUUAAUUGAUGGGGUCAGCGCAAGCGAAGCUCCUGAUCGAAGCCCCGGUAAACGGCGGCCGUAACUAUAACGGUCCUAAGGUAGCGAAAUUCCUUGUCGGGUAAGUUCCGACCUGCACGAAUGGCGUAAUGAUGGCCAGGCUGUCUCCACCCGAGACUCAGUGAAAUUGAACUCGCUGUGAAGAUGCAGUGUACCCGCGGCAAGACGGAAAGACCCCGUGAACCUUUACUAUAGCUUGACACUGAACAUUGAGCCUUGAUGUGUAGGAUAGGUGGGAGGCUUUGAAGUGUGGACGCCAGUCUGCAUGGAGCCGGCCUUGAAAUACCACCCUUUAAUGUUUGAUGUUCUAACGUGGACCCGUGAUCCGGGUUGCGGACAGUGUCUGGUGGGUAGUUUGACUGGGGCGGUCUCCUCCUAAAGAGUAACGGAGGAGCACGAAGGUUGGCUAAUCCUGGUCGGACAUCAGGAGGUUAGUGCAAUGGCAUAAGCCAGCUUGACUGCGAGCGUGACGGCGCGAGCAGGUGCGAAAGCAGGUCAUAGUGAUCCGGUGGUUCUGAAUGGAAGGGCCAUCGCUCAACGGAUAAAAGGUACUCCGGGGAUAACAGGCUGAUACCGCCCAAGAGUUCAUAUCGACGGCGGUGUUUGGCACCUCGAUGUCGGCUCAUCACAUCCUGGGGCUGAAGUAGGUCCCAAGGGUAUGGCUGUUCGCCAUUUAAAGUGGUACGCGAGCUGGGUUUAGAACGUCGUGAGACAGUUCGGUCCCUAUCUGCCGUGGGCGCUGGAGAACUGAGGGGGGCUGCUCCUAGUACGAGAGGACCGGAGUGGACGCAUCACUGGUGUUCGGGUUGUCAUGCCAAUGGCACUGCCCGGUAGCUAAAUGCGGAAGAGAUAAGUGCUGAAAGCAUCUAAGCACGAAACUUGCCCCGAGAUGAGUUCUCCCUGAGACUUAGAGUCUCCUGAAGGAACGUUGAAGACGACGACGUUGAUAGGCCGGGUGUGUAAGCGCAGCGAUGCGUUGAGCUAACCGGUACUAAUGAACCGUGAGGCUUAACC